GGUUGAGAGGUUAGAGCACAAGACUCCCACACCCGUGGUCUGAGGUCCAAAUCCCCUCAUU
This 61-nucleotide transfer RNA is filed under the name Eutreptiella gymnastica. The record is from RNAcentral. Lineage: Eukaryota; Euglenozoa; Euglenophyceae; Eutreptiales; Eutreptiaceae.